RNAcentral lists this ribosomal RNA (1365 nucleotides) under uncultured organism. RNAcentral's name for it is "16S ribosomal RNA". It matches the Rfam family "Bacterial small subunit ribosomal RNA", at positions 100 to 1443 of the family's 1533-position model. The record is from RNAcentral.
GGACGGGGGAGUAACACGUGGGCAACCUGCCCUGUAAACGGUUAUAACACCGAUAAAUCCGUGCUAAUACCGGAUAACACGAAUAACCGCAUGGUUUUUCGUUGAAAGGAGGCGCACGCUGUCACUACUGGAUGGGCCCGCGGCGCAUUACCUACUUGGUGAGGUAACGGCUCACCAAGGGGACGAUGCGUAUCCGACCUGACAGGGUGAUCGGGCACACUGGAACUGAUACACGGCCCACACUCCUACGGGAGGCAGCAGCACGCAAUCUUCCGCAAUGUACCAAAGUCUGACGGAACAACGCCGCGUUGAGCGAAGAAGGCCUUCUGAUCGUAAAGUUCUGUUGUUAGGGAAGAACAAGUACCGCAGUCACUGGCGGUACCUUGACGGAACCUAACGAGAAAGCCACGGCUAACUACGUGCCAGCAGCCACGUGAAUACGUACGUGGCAAGCGUUGUCCGGAAUUAUUGUACGCAAAGCGCGCGCAGGCGCCUCCUUAAUUCUGAUGAGAAAGCACCACUGCUCAACCGCGCAGGGUCAUUGGAAACUUGUUGCACUUGAUUGCAGAACAAGAGAGCGGAAUUCCCACGUGUACUAGUGAAAUGCGUAUAGAUGUGGAGGAUCACCAGUGGCGAAGUCGGCUGUCUGGUGUGUAACUGACGCUGAGGCGCGAAAGCGUGGGGAGCAAACAGGAUUAGAUACUCUGGUAGUCCACGCAGUAAACGAUGAGUGUUAAGUGUUAGAGGGUAUCCACCCUUUAGUGGAGUAGCUAACGCAUUAAGCACUCCGCCUGGGGAGUACGCUCGCAAGAGUGAAACUCAAAGGAAUUGACGGGGGGCCGCACAAGCGGUGGAGCAUGUGGUUUAAUUCGAAGCAACGAGAAGAACGUUAGCAGGUCUUGUACAUCCCCUGACAACCCGAGAGAUCGGGCGUUCCUCCUUCGGGGGGACAGGGUGACAGGUGGUGCAUGGUUGUCGUCAGCUUGUGUCGUGAGAUGUUGGUUUAAGUUCCGCAACGAGCGCUACCUUCGACUUUAGUUCCCAGCAUUCAGUUGGGCACUGUAAGGUGACUUCGGAGUAAAAGUCGGAGGAAGGUGGGGAUGACGUCAAAUCUUCAUUCCCCUUAUGACCUGGUCUUCACACGUGUUACAAUGGGCGGUUCAAAGGGUUGUGUAACCGCGAGGGGGAGCCAAUCCCAAAAAGCCGCUAUCAGUUGGGAUUGCAGGUUGCAACUCGCUUGCAAGAAGCCGGAAUCGGUAGUAAUCGCGGAUCAGCAUGCCGCGGUGAAUACUUUCCCGGGCAUUGUACACACCGCCCGUCACACCAUGAGAGUUUGCAACACCUGAAGUCGGUGAGGUAACCCUU